ACUUUGAUAUUUGGAAAUUUUAGAAAAUUUUGCAGAUAUGCAAGUGAAGAAUAAAAAAUUUGCAAAUUGAUGGUAUCCCUUAAAUGUAAAUGUUUAAGAUAUUCUAGGUUUUUAUUAACAAGAAAGAAACUGAAGGGGAUGUUCCGCAUAGGAUUACAGUAGGUUGGAUGAAUGGAGUUGCUACAUCAAUUCCAUAUGAUGAAAGAUCCUUGUGAGGUUAAAAGGCAAGGUAUUAGUGAUUAAACCUACUAUGUUUUUAUGGCUCCGAGUCUUAAGUUGUUCGAUGAUAAAAUGCUCAUAAUUCAUAGAAUGUAUGAGCAUAUUAGAAGGUGUUAAACAAAAGUAUGGUAAAAUGAUCUCUUUCAAAAAUCUAAGAAGUGAAAGCAAAGACAAUUGCCUUCAACUUCUGAUUAUAUUGACUUAGUGAAACAUGAUUGUACAUUCACACAAAAUCCUUGGUUUGAGAUAAUCAUAACAAAAUUCUACUUUCAAUAUUAUGUAAUCAAAAUAUUUUAAGUGGCCAACACUGCAAAUAUAGGCACAUAGGUACACAAUGAACUCAACCAAUAAGGUAGAUAAACAUAAUGAAACAUAAUGAGUAAUUAAAAAUCACGAAAUAUUUUUCUCAUUGAAGUUCCCGAUACUGCAUAUAUCAUCAGCACACAAUAAAAAAAUUAAUAAAUCUAUUAGUCUUGCACUCAAUCAGGCUAGAAUCAUCAAGAAUUACAUCUUUGUCUAGCUAUUUAGCAGCAUUCAACACACACAAAAUCACCAUUGCAUCAUAAUCUGAUACCAAAACAUACUCAAUAAAAGAGAUUUUCCAAAUACAAAAAUGCAAUAGCUAAAAUUGCAAACAUACCUGAGUUGAAGAACUCAAACUGAACACUCGGCCAAUCUUCUAUGAGGUCUCGAGGCACCAUGCUAGAUCAUUGAGUUAAACUUUCAAGAUGGUGAAAGCACAGAAAUGGUCAACAAUUUGCUACGUUUAAAGAAAAUAACUAAAAUUAUAUAAAAAUUAGAACCAACUGAUUACAUGGAUAAAUGUCUUUGAUCCAAAAAAUGAUUCAAUUUUUUUCCGGUCACAAUGAAAUCUCAAAGUUGUCAAGUAAAAGAAAGCCAAAUAAAAUCAACACAGGUCCGUCCAACGGCAUAAAAAUAAUUUGAUGUCAAAUUCCAAUUUCCAUUCAUCAUUUGAAAUUAAAAAAAAAAAAAUAUAUAUAUAUAUAU
This 1227-nucleotide long non-coding RNA is filed under the name Olea europaea (common olive). RNAcentral's name for it is "long non-coding RNA (OEUR_LNC012463)". Lineage: Eukaryota; Viridiplantae; Streptophyta; Magnoliopsida; Lamiales; Oleaceae. The record is from RNAcentral.